This 495-nucleotide ribosomal RNA is filed under the name uncultured bacterium. RNAcentral describes it as "bacterial SSU rRNA". It matches the Rfam family "Bacterial small subunit ribosomal RNA", at positions 29 to 518 of the family's 1533-position model. The record is from RNAcentral.
AUGAACGCUAGCGACAGGCCUAACACAUGCAAGUCAGGGGCGAGCACAAGGAGCAAUCUGAGGUGGCGACCGGCGGCACGGGUGAGUAACACGUAUGCAACCUGCCUGUAAGCGGGGAAUAACCCGUUGAAAGACGGACUAAUACCGCAUAAUACUAAAUUACUGCAUGGUAAUUUAUUUAAACAUUUAUGGCUUACAGAUGGGCAUGCGCAUGAUUAGCUAGUUGGAGAGGUAACGGCUCCCCAAGGCAACGAUCAUUAGGGUUCUGAGAGGAAGGUCCCCCACACUGGUACUGAGACACGGACCAGACUCCUACGGGAGGCAGCAGUGAGGAAUAUUGGUCAAUGGACGAGAGUCUGAACCAGCCAAGUCGCGUGCAGGAAGAAUGUCCCUAUGGAUUGUAAACUGCUUUUGCAGGGGAAUAAAGUGCAUCACGUGUGAUGUUUUGUAUGUACUCUGCGAAUAAGGAUCGGCUAACUCCGUGCCAGCAGCCGC